Molecule: ribosomal RNA, 468 nt
Filed under: uncultured bacterium
Lineage: Bacteria
Description: partial 16S ribosomal RNA
Rfam family: Bacterial small subunit ribosomal RNA
Source: RNAcentral
GACGAACGCUGGCGGCGUGCUUAACACAUGCAAGUCGAACGGUGAAGCUCCAGCUUGCUGGAGUGGAUCAGUGGCGAACGGGUGAGUAACACGUGAGCAACCUGCCCCUGACUCUGGAAUAAGCGCUGGAAACGGCGUCUAAUACUGGAUAUGAGAAGGGUCCGCAUGGACACUUUCUGGAAAGUUUUUCGGUUGGGGAUGGGCUCGCGGCCUAUCAGCUUGUUGGUGAGGUAAUGGCUCACCAAGGCGACGACGGGUAGCCGGCCUGAGAGGGCGACCGGCCACACUGGGACUGAGACACGGCCCAGACUCCUGCGGGAGGCAGCAGUGGGGAAUAUUGCACAAUGGGCGAAAGCCUGAUGCAGCGACGCCGCGUGAGGGAUGACGGCCUUCGGGUUGUAAACCUCUUUCAGCAGGGAAGAAGCGAAAGUGACGGUACCUGCAGAAGAAGCACCGGCUAACUACGUG